AACCUUAUGGACCUGCGGGCGUAUACCUGCGGAGGGAUCAUUACUGAGUACUACACUCUCUACCCUUUGUGAACUAUUAUACCCUGUUGCUUCGGCGGCGCCCGCAAGGGUGCCCGCCGGUCUCAUCAGAAUCUCUGUUUUCGAACCCGACGAUACUUCUGAGUGUUCUUAGCGAACUGUCAAAACUUUUAACAACGGAUCU
RNAcentral lists this unclassified non-coding RNA (202 nucleotides) under soil metagenome. Its description in RNAcentral is "partial contains 5.8S ribosomal RNA, internal transcribed spacer 2, and large subunit ribosomal RNA". The record is from RNAcentral.